GCCUGGAUAGCUCAGUAGGUAGAGUAUCAGACUUUCAAUCUGAGGGUCCAGGGUUCAAGUCUCUGUUCAGGCG
Molecule: non-coding RNA, 73 nt
Organism: Budorcas taxicolor (takin)
Lineage: Eukaryota; Metazoa; Chordata; Mammalia; Artiodactyla; Bovidae
Source: the annotation of a RefSeq genome assembly